GUGUUCUUUAUUUUCUGCAAGUUUAAUUUCUGAUAUUAAGAUCGAUUGUAUCUUACAACUUAUUGUGUGGGUUUUUGGCCCCCUUUCAGUGGUAUCAGAGCGUUGAACUGGGGCAAGAUACCUGGAUCUUUGAAGGAGGGAUCGAUCUACUGCAGAUCUGAAAUUUUUGGAACUGCUUUUAAGCAGUAUUGAAGGACCUUGAGUAUUUUAUACUCGUUGGGUGAGAUCUUUUAAAUUUGUAAAGUUUACUUUAUGAAAUUGUGUGUUUCGAUUUUCUUCCUUUGAUUAACCAUACAGCAACUACCCACUGGUGUCUGGUCUUUGUCCAAAGACUCCUGUGAGAUCUUGGAAAUCUGAGAAAAGCCCGGUUUGGGGGUGUAUCUGGGGAAUCUUGAAGGAGGAAUUUUUCAGAAACCUAAAAUUUUUGCCCUCUGUUAUUGAGUCCUUGAUUUGAUAUGUAUAUUACAUAUGUGUUUUAAACUUGCAUGUGUUGUGUCAUCUUGAACAAUACUGUGAACAAUACUAUGAAUCUGAGUUGACAUUGUUGUGUGUCCAGUGUAUGCUGUGGUGUGAUCUUUUGACUCGAAAUUGUACAUUUUGUGUGACAUAAGAAAAUGGCUACUGCUAAAUUUGAGGUUGCACGAUUCGAUGGAAAAAUUGAUUACAAUAUGUGGAGUCAAAAGAUGAAAGCUAUAUUAAUGCAAAUGAGAUGUGUUAGGGCUUUAGAUGGCACUUGGCCUCAAGACAUGAACCCUGCUAGGAAGGCUGAAUUAGAAGAGGUAGCAUGGAGUACUAUUUUCUUGUAUCUGUCUGAGAAUGUUAUAAGAACUAUUGGUGAAACUAAGACAGCUUCUGAACUGUGGACUAAAUUAGAAAAACAGUAUGUGACAAAAACCAUCCCAAACAAAUGUUAUCUGUUAAAACAACUCUUUUUCUUUUAAGAUGGACCAUUGGAUGAUAACUUGAAUAGGUUUACAAAAUUG
Molecule: long non-coding RNA, 983 nt
Filed under: Olea europaea subsp. europaea
Lineage: Eukaryota; Viridiplantae; Streptophyta; Magnoliopsida; Lamiales; Oleaceae
Source: RNAcentral